Molecule: long non-coding RNA, 1702 nt
Organism: Brienomyrus brachyistius
Lineage: Eukaryota; Metazoa; Chordata; Actinopteri; Osteoglossiformes; Mormyridae
Exons: 3
Source: RefSeq, a predicted model, not a curated record
UGGGAGCCACUGACAAAUUCCAUGUGUGUGUGAACUUACCAAGCCAAUAGACCUGAUUCUGCUAUCAUCCAUCCAUCCAUCCAUUUACCCUUCCACAAUUGCAUCCAUGCCUUUACCCAAUGCAUUGUGUGUGUGUGUGUGUGUGUGUGUGUGUGUGUGUGACAUCAUCUGGCGUUGAAUGCACAGUGUGACAGCAGUAAAUGGUUCAUCCAUUUAGCCUGUGGCAGAUCGUCAGCUUGUGGCUGCGGGAGAAUGAUUGUCCUGAACUUGUACGGCCGACUGUGAACAAAGAGUUUUUGAUGACGGAAGGCUGUGAAACGGAGCGGCUCUUUCUGUACCGCCGAGGAAAUGGCCCUCUUUAUUGUGUUAUUACCUCGGUAAAUCACACUAGCUGUAAUUAAGGUGGCUUUCUUCUCAAUAAUGUUCCCUGAGGACAUGAUGUAGCAUUUCAUUUUGUAGCUUGAUAUUGCUCAGGACAUGCUGGAGUGUGUGUGAGUGCACGUUGGUGCCCACACUGUGCAUCUGCACUCUAUGUGUCUGUGUGUGUGACUGUUCCAGAAUGAAGUGUGGAACUGUGUAUGUGUGGAUGGGGCACAUAUGUCCAUGCACAAUGUGUGUGUCUACAGAUGUCCGAAAAAAAUCUGUAGAAAGACAGAAAAAGCCUCAAAACAGAUGGUGUCAUGAUGUUUCCACCAACAAAUGUCCUGUUUAGCUGUUUUUCAGGUUUAUUCUGCUUGUGGGGACCUUUUUUCCCCAAAAUCCACAAUACCAAGGGUCCAACUGUUCCAUCUGGCCCUCUCUGGAGCCUGGAAAUGGGUUUAUGACACAGUAUAGCCUGUACAUCCUAUCAGCGCGCAUCGAUCAGGAAACAGCACCACCUGGUGGACAAAUUAGAAAUGGGGCAGCAGAUUGAGCCCUACAGCUGAUUCUGAAACAAGUCAUCCUGGAAAAGGCUGUUGACCCUCUGGGAGGUAAUGAGUCGACAGCCCUGACCUUCAGUAUCCUACAGAGGCAACAGAGCAGACGCCAGGAACUGUUCCCAGAUCAGGAACCACGAGGAACCAGUGCCAGAUCAGCCCUCACAAAACCCAAUUCUCAGGCCAACAAUCUGUGCCAGGAGCCUGGGCUUCAUCCAGAUCAGCCACUCACAGACUCCUCUCUCACAACAUCAUCAACCUGUGGGGAGAGCUUGUCCCAGAGUAGGAACCCACGUUGUGGGCCGUUCCCCACUAAGUGACUUAAAGAGAUCACUGUUCCCAGAACAGUGGGCCACACAGAGAGUCUUGGCAGGAUCAGUAAUGCAAACAAAGAACAGUAACCAGAACAGAAGCCAAAAGGAGUGAAAAUUUGCAGUGUCCUCUGACCAGAAAAUACGGUUGCAGAGAGACAUGUAUUUAUAAAGGAUUUACACAUUCCUCAUGAUGUGGCCGACCCACCUGCUGAUUCAGCCUGUGGUCAUGUCAACCAUGUCCUUUUGUCGUUUCCUUCUAAUGUGACUUUCUCAUCACUCUGUGAACUGUUAUGAUACCCAGAAAGCUUUUGUGUUUGACCUGCAAAGAAGGAAUGCACAUUGGUGUUUGUUUUUCUGUGUAUGAGAAGUGUAUUUUGGGUAAUAAAUGUCUUCGUAAUAUCAACCAUAGUGGUGAUGACCUUUGUAAAUCCAUAUGUGGAAUAGAGGAGGGCAUAAAUAGGUGGAGAUGGG